CCUGCUUGCAAAGCAGGUGCUCUCCCAGCUGAGCUACGGCCCCCAAAAAAGGAUAAAGCAUUCGAAACUUUUAAAUUCGAGAUCACGAACUUGGAUCACUUUAAAAUUCAAAGUGUUUUGCAAAAUUCAAAGUGUUUUGCAAAACUUAAAGCCUUUUGUAUUUGAACCGCUUGAAGUUUCUCUUGCCUAAGCGAAAUGGAUAAGCGUCACAUUUUAAAAACAAGCCUUUUAUAAGGAGUUCUUUUAUAAGCAUGAUUUCUCAUCAUUAUAAAACUGCUACCAACACUUAAAUUCAAUGGACCGAUAAAUCGGCAAAUAAACAGAUAAAGGCAAAUGGAUAGGUAAAUUGGUGGGCCUGGGAGGACUUGAACCUCCGACCUCACGCUUAUCAAGCGCGCGCUCUAACCAACUGAGCUACAAGCCCUCCGAGAUAAACCGGAAAACCUUCCCCAGCAUUAUCUAAAAAAGCAUUAUCUAAAAAAUCUCUAUCUCAUAAAAGCACCCUUUCAAAAAACAAAGAGCUUUCCUUAAAGCUUUUGAUGAGAGCUUACUUGCAUAGACCGCCAGAAGGCUUGGGAUC
This 580-nucleotide unclassified non-coding RNA is filed under the name uncultured Bartonella sp. Its description in RNAcentral is "partial 16S-23S ribosomal RNA intergenic spacer". The record is from RNAcentral. Lineage: Bacteria; Pseudomonadati; Pseudomonadota; Alphaproteobacteria; Hyphomicrobiales; Bartonellaceae.